GGAUAUAUAGCUCAAGUGGCAGAGCGCAUGCUUAGCAUACAUAAGGUCCUGGGAUCAAUCCCCAGUACCUCCU
This 73-nucleotide transfer RNA is filed under the name Camelus bactrianus (Bactrian camel). It matches the Rfam family "tRNA". From Rfam's summary of the family: Transfer RNA (tRNA) molecules are approximately 80 nucleotides in length. Their secondary structure includes four short double-helical elements and three loops (D, anti-codon, and T loops). Further hydrogen bonds mediate the characteristic L-shaped molecular structure. tRNAs have two regions of fundamental functional importance: the anti-codon, which is responsible for specific mRNA codon recognition, and the 3' end, to which the tRNAs corresponding amino acid is attached (by aminoacyl-tRNA synthetases). tRNAs cope with the degeneracy of the genetic code in two manners: having more than one tRNA (with a specific anti-codon) for a particular amino acid; and 'wobble' base-pairing, i.e. permitting non-standard base-pairing at the 3rd anti-codon position. The record is from Rfam by way of RNAcentral. RNAcentral also lists the same sequence under 2 other names. Lineage: Eukaryota; Metazoa; Chordata; Mammalia; Artiodactyla; Camelidae.